RNAcentral lists this non-coding RNA (26 nucleotides) under Homo sapiens (human). Lineage: Eukaryota; Metazoa; Chordata; Mammalia; Primates; Hominidae. The record is from RNAcentral.
GAGCUUCACAUUAUCUCUACAUGCCA